UGUCUAUUAAUUGUAGACCAGUAUGAAAGGCUACAUGAGAGUCAGACUGUCUCUUGUAAUAAAUCUAUUAAACUGAUCUUCUAGUCCAAAAGCUAGAAUAACCAUAUAAGACCAGAAGACCCUGUGAAGCUUAAACUAAACUUCUAAAACUACUAGAAACUACUUUCAGUUGGGGCGACUAUGGAACAAAACAAAACUUCCAACAACAUGAGAAUACUCAUAACAAGGCACACAAGCCUCCACACGACCCAGUCUAACUGACUAACGAAACAAGUUACUCCAGGGAUAACAGCGCUAUCUUCUUCAAGAGCCCAUAUCAAAAAGAAGGU
This 329-nucleotide ribosomal RNA is filed under the name Trachyboa gularis. Its description in RNAcentral is "partial 16S ribosomal RNA". It matches the Rfam family "Bacterial large subunit ribosomal RNA", at positions 1970 to 2517 of the family's 2925-position model. Lineage: Eukaryota; Metazoa; Chordata; Lepidosauria; Squamata; Tropidophiidae. The record is from RNAcentral.